UCCAGGUUUGCUUAUGCUUCCAUCUUUUUGAUGGAACAGACUGACUGAACAGAGCAGGAUCUCAUGCAAAUGGAUGAUUUAUUAAUUCAUGUCUUUUCCACUUUAAAAUCAUGGUGCCACUACAUCUCCAGGCACAAACACAUUAAAACAGACAAAGUUUAGUAUUAAAAGAAACUAAUUAACUACAAUAGGGCUACCAUAAUGAAACUGAAAAGUAAAAAUCCCAGUUCUCUUGAGGAGAGGCUUGAAAGCGUCUAACAGGUAGGUAUGAUAAAUGAGUGGGUAAAUGGAAACUGAAAGGAGGUUUAAUGCUUUGUUAAAAUGAUGGCCUCCAUGAAGCUAAGCAUCAAUACUGUUUCUCUUAUGUUUGAUCUGUAGGCAGCAAUUGUGGUGGUAUUCAACUUCGCAAUGGUUCUGCUAAUUUUUCCUGCUAUACUGAGCAUGGACCUUUAUCGUCGAGAAGACAGGAGACUGGAUAUAUUCUGCUGUUUUACAAGGUAGGUUUUAUUCAUUUGAUGAAAAAUAUCUCAUACCAUUUUCUGUCAUCAGUUUGUCAUUUCUUAUUUACAAGAGGAGAUUUAUCUCUGUCAAUUAA
Non-coding RNA from Meleagris gallopavo (turkey), 595 nucleotides. NCBI's taxonomy places the organism in Eukaryota, Metazoa, Chordata, Aves, Galliformes, Phasianidae. The record is from RefSeq and is a predicted model, not a curated record.